RNAcentral lists this ribosomal RNA (606 nucleotides) under Saccharomyces uvarum. Its description in RNAcentral is "eukaryotic LSU rRNA". It matches the Rfam family "Eukaryotic large subunit ribosomal RNA", at positions 49 to 669 of the family's 3401-position model. Lineage: Eukaryota; Fungi; Ascomycota; Saccharomycetes; Saccharomycetales; Saccharomycetaceae. The record is from RNAcentral.
UAGGGAGGAAAAGAAACCAACCGGGAUUGCCUUAGUAACGGCGAGUGAAGCGGCAAAAGCUCAAAUUUGAAAUCUGGUACCUUUGGUGCCCGAGUUGUAAUUUGGAGAGGGCAACUUUGGGACCGUUCCUUGUCUAUGUUCCUUGGAACAGGACGUCAUAGAGGGUGAGAAUCCCGUGUGGCGAGGAGUGCGGUUCUAUGUAAAGUGCCUUCGAAGAGUCGAGUUGUUUGGGAAUGCAGCUCUAAGUGGGUGGUAAAUUCCAUCUAAAGCUAAAUAUUGGCGAGAGACCGAUAGCGAACAAGUACAGUGAUGGAAAGAUGAAAAGAACUUUGAAAAGAGAGUGAAAAAGUACGUGAAAUUGUUGAAAGGGAAGGGCAUUUGAUCAGACAUGGUGUUUUGCGCCCUCUGCUCCUUGUGGGUGGGGGAAUCUCGCAGUUCACUGGGCCAGCAUCAGUUUUGGUGGCAGGAUAAAUCCGUAGGAAUGUAACUUGCUUCGGGAAGUAUUAUAGCCUAUGGGAAUACUGCCAGCUGGGACUGAGGACUGCGACGUAAGUCAAGGAUGCUGGCAUAAUGGUUAUAUGCCGCCCGUCUUGAACCACGGACCAA